RNAcentral lists this ribosomal RNA (334 nucleotides) under uncultured Nitrospirota bacterium. RNAcentral's name for it is "bacterial SSU rRNA". It matches the Rfam family "Bacterial small subunit ribosomal RNA", at positions 29 to 351 of the family's 1533-position model. Lineage: Bacteria; Pseudomonadati; Nitrospirota. The record is from RNAcentral.
AACGAACGCUGGCGGCGUGCCUAACACAUGCAAGUCGAACGGAUUCAUAUUGAAGUAGCAAUGCGGAGAUAUGAGUUAGUGGCGGACGGGUGAGUAACACGUAGGUAACCUACCCUUAAGCGGGGGACAACUCAGGGAAACUUGAGCUAAUACCGCAUAAGACCACGGGCUGAGAUGCCAGUGGGAAAAGGAGCAAUCCACUUAAGGAUGGGCCUGCGGCCUAUCAGGUAGUUGGUGAGGUAACGGCCCACCAAGCCAGAGACGGGUAGCCGGACUGAGAGGUUGAACGGUCACACUGGAACUGAGAUACGGUCCAGACUCCGUACGGGAGCUG